GUGGGGAAUAUUGGACAAUGGGCGAAAGCCUGAUCCAGCCAUGCCGCGUGUGUGAAGAAGGUCUUCGGAUUGUAAAGCACUUUAAGUUGGGAGGAAGGGUAGUAACCUAAUACGUUGCUACUUUGACGUUACCGACAGAAUAAGCACCGGCUAACUUCGUGCCAGCAGCCGCGGUAAUACGAAGGGUGCAAGCGUUAAUCGGAAUUACUGGGCGUAAAGCGCGCGUAGGUGGUUUUGUAAGUUGGAGGUGAAAUCCCCGGGCUCAACCUGGGAACUGCAUCCAAAACUGCAUGACUAGAGUACGGUAGAGGGUAGUGGAAUUUCCUGUGUAGCGGUGAAAUGCGUAGAUAUAGGAAGGAACACCAGUGGCGAAGGCGACUACCUGGACUGAUACUGACACUGAGGUGCGAAAGCGUGGGGAGCAAACAGGAUUAGAUACCCCGGUAGUCC
Molecule: ribosomal RNA, 450 nt
Filed under: uncultured bacterium
Lineage: Bacteria
Description: bacterial SSU rRNA
Rfam family: Bacterial small subunit ribosomal RNA
Source: RNAcentral